UACAGAGGUCCCAAGCGUUAUCCGGAUUUACUGGGCGUAAAGCGUGUGCAGGCGGUUCGGCAAGUUGGAUGUGAAAUCUCCCGGCUCAACUGGGAGGGGUCGUUCAAUACUACCGAACUUGAGGGCAUCAGAGGAAGGUGGAAUUCCCGGAGUAGUGGUGAAAUGCGUAGAUAUCGGGAGGAACACCAGUGGCGAAGGCGGCCUUCUGGGAUGUUUCUGACGCUCAUACACGAAAGCGUGGGGAGCAAACAGG
This 253-nucleotide ribosomal RNA is filed under the name uncultured bacterium. RNAcentral's name for it is "partial 16S ribosomal RNA". It matches the Rfam family "Bacterial small subunit ribosomal RNA", at positions 524 to 776 of the family's 1533-position model. The record is from RNAcentral.